AUUGAACGCUGGCGGCAUGCCUUACACAUGCAAGUCGAACGGCAGCACGGGUGCUUGCACCUGGUGGCGAGUGGCGAACGGGUGAGUAAUACAUCGGAACGUACCUUAUCGUGGGGGAUAACGCAGCGAAAGCUGUGCUAAUACCGCAUACGCCCUGAGGGGGAAAGCGGGGGAUCGCAAGACCUCGCGCGAUUAGAGCGGCCGAUGCCUGAUUAGCUUGUUGGUGGGGUAAAAGCCCACCAAGGCGACGAUCAGUAGCUGGUCUGAGAGGACGAUCAGCCACACUGGGACUGAGACACGGCCCAGACUCCUACGGGAGGCAGAAGUGGGGAAUUUUGGACAAUGGGGGCAACCCUGAUCCAGCAAUGCCACGUGAGUGAAGAAGGCCUUCGGGUUGUAAAGCUCUUUUGUCAGGGAAGAAACACCGGCUCUAACACAGUCUGGGAAUGACGGUACCUGAAGAAUAAGCACCGGCUAACUACGUGCCAGCCGCCGCGGUAA
This 501-nucleotide ribosomal RNA is filed under the name uncultured bacterium. Its description in RNAcentral is "partial 16S ribosomal RNA". It matches the Rfam family "Bacterial small subunit ribosomal RNA", at positions 30 to 523 of the family's 1533-position model. The record is from RNAcentral.